Molecule: ribosomal RNA, 253 nt
Filed under: uncultured bacterium
Lineage: Bacteria
Description: partial 16S ribosomal RNA
Rfam family: Bacterial small subunit ribosomal RNA
Source: RNAcentral
UCCGAAGGGGGCUAUCGUUGUUCGGAAUCACUGGGCGUAAAGCGCACGUAGGCGGAUUUGUUAGUCAGGGGUGAAAUCCCGGGGCUCAACCUCGGAACUGCCUUUGAUACUGCAGAUCUCGAGUCCGGAAGAGGUGAGUGGAAUUCCUAGUGUAGAGGUGAAAUUCGUAGAUAUUAGGAAGAACACCAGUGGCGAAGGCGGCUCACUGGUCCGGUACUGACGCUGAGGUGCGAAAGCGUGGGGAGAAAACAGG